RNAcentral lists this long non-coding RNA (828 nucleotides) under Homo sapiens (human). RNAcentral describes it as "HSALNT0024958". The record is from RNAcentral. Lineage: Eukaryota; Metazoa; Chordata; Mammalia; Primates; Hominidae.
AUAGAAGUAUAUGUACCUGUGGGAACAGAAAAAAAAAAUAGUAUUAAAGUGGUUGAAUUUGCAAUGUAUGUUUCUCUUUAAGUUUCCUAUAUUAUAAAAAUUAACAUAAUGUUUUGAGGAAAAUAUUCAUUGUGAAUAUUUAAGUUUUGUCCAGAGGUCCUGAGUUGGAUAUGUGAAGUGAGAUGCUCGUGAACACUGCAGAUAAAUUGAUGCACACACAGUCACAGCAGUUGAUUCUGACUUAGGAACAUUUCACUCUCCUUUCCUUUGCUCAUUUUGGUGGUGAAGAUCUCGUCCAGAAGUAAUAUACGUCAAGAAAGAAGAGAUUAUAAAUGUCUAGCAGGGACUGUUAGAAAUAUAUUUGGUGCCCUUGAUGAUUUCUCAAUCAAGACAGGGAACACUGAGGUACAACCACAUAGAGCAUCGGAGCUGCUACGGUAAAGGGGAAGGAGAGAUUCCUACUCUGGUUGAUGACACUGGAUCCUUGCAAGCUGGACAUCUCGGAACAACAGACACAGCUGUUCAACCUCAGAGCUUCUAGACUUCCCAUGUUCCAAGUCCACUUCUGCCGGCAGAAUAGAAACCUCGUCAGUUAUCACAACUCAGAUGAAAAAGCCUCACAGCUUGCGGUGUUGACAGUAUUCUAGAAGACCCUACACCCCUGUGGCUUCUCGAUGACUAAUGUGGAGCCAGCAUCUGUCAGCACAAACUCAGAGUGAUUACCCAGAAAUAGGUGCUUGGCAACAAUCCCAAUUCAUUACCCAUGUCCUAGCCCAGAGUGUGGAGGAAAAGUGAUACCAUCAAUUUCUUGGCAAUUAUCCCAUGACG